Molecule: non-coding RNA, 75 nt
Organism: Podarcis lilfordi (Lilford's wall lizard)
Lineage: Eukaryota; Metazoa; Chordata; Lepidosauria; Squamata; Lacertidae
Source: the annotation of a GenBank genome assembly
ACUGGGAUAACUCAGUUGGUUAGAGCAUGGUUCUGAUGAUGCCAAGGUUACAGGUUCAGUCCCCAUAUUGCAGGG